ACUGUAAAGACACGUGCAUGCAUUUUUUUUUUGCCAAACUGCCAUUUCAAGCCACUCAGAGCACCUUUCCACGCAGUACACGCCCUCUUAAAAAAAUCCCUCCUCUGUUUCUAAGGUCCUUCUCCUCCCUCUCCAUUUCUCCACGCCCUUCCUCUCCUCCCCCUGCUCCCUCCCUCCUUUCCCUCCCUCUGUCCCCCCACUACCUCCCUGUCUCUGCUCUCCAGUUAGCCUUAGAAGUCACUGAGGCGUGGACGUGACAGAGUUACUGAUAGCAUUUGUGAUUCGUGUUAUCCGCGUUAUUCGCCCCGGUGGACAGUUACGGGGUGACGGACAGGUGCGAUGGCCAGUUAGCGGCAAAGGAAACUGGUGAAGGAAGUGAGGAAAAGUGAGGGAGCGAUACAGUGAGGGAAGGUGCAUGAAUUUCGCCGGCUGGUGGUGCUCGUUGGGGUGAUGGAAGAGCAGCGCCGCACGUCGUCCUCGUCAUAGAAUAAGAUACAACAGUGACAGCCAUGUAAGAGCUGGCCGGGAACGCAACGACUAAAUGAUAAGAACCACCGGCUGACGAAUAAUUGAAGCCGGCAAUGUGGGACACGGGUUGUCUGCUUCCCAAGCCCGCUGUGCCCCGAAAGAACUGAUCCCUCGGUAACAAGGAAUAUCCAAGAGUAAGUACAAGGUUUGAUGUCAGUAAGCCACCCGGCACGGACGACCUGCCGCUGAGAUUCCCCGAGGAUUUGAAAUACUGCAGCCAUCAAUCACAGUACCAAACAACCGUGGAAAGAACAAGGACGAUCGUAUUGCAAAGUUCUAAAACGUGUAAUCGAAAUACAGAUCGAAAAGAGUAUGGCUGGAAUUCUGAAGAGCUUAACAACAUAUUUCGGAUGAAUACUUCAGAUGAGAAACAAAUCUCCUUAUGUUAACAAGGUUUAUUUCUUUUGUAAUACUUACAUAAGCUUGGAUAGUUAAACACUUAAUGGCGUAGCCUAGUAUGUCCGCAAGACCAUUCACGAAGGAUGCACUUGACUUUCAUAUAGAAAAAGAUAUAAUAAUGCCAUAAGAGUGAAUUGGCAGGACUAUUUCAAGAAGAGAAUUGGCUCAAUAUCGCAGAGGAUGCAGAUCAUUGUGCGGUUACUACAAGGAACACCAAUGUAUUCCGUACUGUGCAAUAAGCUUUUGGAAUUUCAAGGUCAGUGGAUACCACUUUUGUUUUUGUUUUUUAUUUUAUGGAGGACGCAGAGAUUGAAGGAAAAACAUAUUAUAUGCAAUACCUUGUCAGUAACCAAAAGGGCAUGGACAAGAUUAUCAAGUGUUAUGAAAAUGUCGAUGUCGUUGAGGACAGACACCAACGGUAAGUGACGAAUUUCAGAUCAAGAACAAGAAAUAUACAUGGUGUUGAAGCAGCGAACGCAUCAAUGAAGAGAAUGGUCCUGGCGUCAUCUUCACCAGUGGCAAGACGUGCUGGAGUCACUGCUCACGUGUGAGGAAAAAGAUAAAUUAAGAGAUAUAUAAUGACAGGACUCAUCGCAAAGAACUCUGCGCUUAAGUCUUCUGAGUUGAUAAUUUUCAAAUUGCAAGUCGCUGGUGGCACUCAACGGGCGGAGCUCGUUUUAUAUCCAUCACCUACCAGGACAUCUCAUCUUCAAGCGUUCAUCAGAGUGUUUAUAUUUAUCCUACCAUUACCAGAGGUCACGAAGAGAGGUUAAAACAUUGUGUGAUUAAGUGAAAACAUGACACUUCUUCAGGAUACGUAACAGGUUUGGCAGCACGAAUCCUUCAUAUGUGAGUUUAUUGAACUUAAGAGUCAAGUGGACGAUGAGAAACCAUGCAUAAUACAAAAAGUGAAGCUAACAUGGACAGCUGCAGAAUAUUAACUACCUCAAAUCCUGUUGGCAUUCACUGGAACAAUGUAGGGACUGAAAAAAACAAAACAAAAAAAAACAACGAACUUAAAAGACCUGCAUACUCGUAUAAAGAUUUCAUGGGGAUGGACGUGAAAUGAUAAUUUUUCCAUCCCUACAGCAUUUUAACCAUAAUUUUCAUUAGUUAAUAAAUGAGGCCGUCUAGCUGGUAUGUUUACUUAGUUAAUAAAGUUUCUCCUUGGUCUGUUGUG
Scylla paramamosain (green mud crab) is the source of this 2107-nucleotide long non-coding RNA. RefSeq lists it as uncharacterized. The transcript has 3 exons. The record is from RefSeq and is a predicted model, not a curated record. Lineage: Eukaryota; Metazoa; Arthropoda; Malacostraca; Decapoda; Portunidae.